Scylla paramamosain (green mud crab) is the source of this 424-nucleotide long non-coding RNA. RefSeq lists it as uncharacterized. The transcript has 2 exons. NCBI's taxonomy places the organism in Eukaryota, Metazoa, Arthropoda, Malacostraca, Decapoda, Portunidae. The record is from RefSeq and is a predicted model, not a curated record.
GACCAAAGCUUUUCCGCUCGAAUCAAGGUCUUAACGAAGGCGAUGAAACACCUCCACCGAACCCAAGUGAAGGCGAGCAGACGGAGUGGCGGGCAGGAGUGGUGGGUCAGUGGCUUCUUACCUUGACCUCCGUGAACACAGUGGAGAGCCUGUGAGCUGCAAACACCACAACUUCACGGCGCCUUUGUCCCCCCUCGCCUGGCUGGUUGUCUUGCAUCUCUCCGACACUCCAAUUCGUGACUCAGCCUCCACUCGUCCGUGAAUCCCCGAUGCACCCUCACCACCACUACCUUUAUCAUCACCGCCCCUUCAAUAGAUUGGCUUCUGAGGGCAGCUCCAUUGUCCCUAACCCCUCUCUGUCCGGAUUACGUUGCGUCUAUUUUUGUUUGUAAUGAUUUAUUUCUAUGUGUUUGUUCUGUCAUUG